Long non-coding RNA from Hipposideros armiger (great roundleaf bat), 307 nucleotides. RefSeq lists it as uncharacterized. The record is from RefSeq and is a predicted model, not a curated record. NCBI's taxonomy places the organism in Eukaryota, Metazoa, Chordata, Mammalia, Chiroptera, Hipposideridae. The transcript is spliced from 4 exons.
UCAAGGCUUUCUUUUCCGCCUGGUCACCGACGUAAGAAGCCGAUGCAGACACCACCAGCCAGGCGGCCCGUGUGGCUUGGGCGGCAGCGCCCGGGGGCCGGUCGCCGGGCUAUUCAAGGUGCAACAGGGCCUAUGAGUUGAAGAUGAAUGAAGGUUGUCAUGAUGUAUGUUUUCCAAGAAUUUAACACAGGAUGACUGAACUGCUAGGAACUCAACUGCCUGUAACAAGGUAGCUGCAGAUGAAUGUUCAAGUCCUUAGCUGUGGUUUAAAGUCAUUGCUUCAGGAGGUGGCAUGUAACAUUUGGAA